UGACAAGUGUACCUUUUUCUUCUAUGUGUGGUGGUGCACUGGUUCUAGACUGCGAGCUAAGGUAAUUCAACUUUUUGUAACCAUUUAAAAAAACAAUUUAAAAUAUACUGCUGAAGUAAAUGUUUAAAUGUAUAACAAAGCAUAGCUGGCAAGUAUGCCUUUUCUUUCACGUGUGGUGGCACAUUGGUCAAAGACUGCGAGGUAAGUCAAACAUUGUUUAGAAUAUACUGCUAAAGUACAUUUAAAUGUAUAACAAACCAUAGCUGACAAAUGUAUCUUUUUCUUUUGUGUGGUGGUGCACUGGUUAUAGACUGCGAGUUGAAGUUAAAUGCUUGCUUUUUUCAUAGCAAAAUUAAGACCGUAUCCAUGUGUGCUGGGCAGUGUUAAGAUAUUAAUCAGUACUUGUGUCUUGUCAAGGGCUUAUGUGAAUAUGUUGCUGGUCACAAAAUCUUGCAUUGAUAUUUUAAUUAAGAAACAUUUCUUAUUCUCUUUCCAUUCCUGUUAAUCUUAGUACAUCACAUUUUUAUGUUAAUCAUUUGAACCGUUUGAAUAGCUACAGUGUAAUCAGGUUCUGAUGCUUUAAGAAUUGAGAAGUACAUGUAGUAAUUCUGUUUCCGUGUUCACAGAUGCCGCGACCAACGAAGAGGUCGACAAUAGCCAAACGGCUAUAUGCACAGAGAUGUGCAAGUACAGAGGCUGCACCGCUUCCUCUUAAAAUAAUUGAAGCAGAGUUUCCACCCCUUCCUCUUAAAAAAAGGGCAGAGGCUGCACGACCACCUCUUAAAACAUACAAGGCCGAGGUAACGCCGCUUCCUCGUAAAAAAAUGGCCGACUGCUCCGGCAGUUGUAAUCCUGGCCCCACCCAGCAGGUUCCACCCUGUCCUGCAAAAACAAACGGGAAAGAGGCUGCGACGCUUCCUCUCAAAAUAAGUCAAGCCAAGGUUAUGCCCACUCCUUGUAAAAAAAAAGGCCGGUUUUGCCAUCGUGUAGAAACCACCCCUCAACAGGUUCCACCCCUCCCUGUGGGUACAAUUGGGGUAGAGGCAAAAAUGCUCCCUCUUAAAACAAGUCGAGCCGAGGUUAUGCCACAUCCUCGUAUAAAAAAAGGUCGGUUUUGCCAUCGUGUAGAAACCACCCCUCAACAGGUUCCACCCCUCCCUGUGGGCGCAAUUGGGGUAGAGGCAAAUACGCUCCCUCUUAAAACAAGUCGAGCCGAGGUUAUGCCAUAUCCUCGUAAAAAAAUAGGCGGUUUUUGCCAUCGUGUAGAAACCACCCCUCAACAGGUUCCACCCCUCCCUGUGAAUCCAAUUGGGGUAGAGGCUGCACCGCUCCCUCUUAAAAGAAAGCGAGCACCAACCAAUGAGCGAACCCGUUCAUUGGAUAACUAUACAAUCUCAUUUACUUCUCAUGAAAUCUCAUUUACUUCUCAUGAAAUCUCAUAUACUUCCAACAAACUAUCAGAAAACAACCCAAAUUUCCACAGGUCUGAUCAAUCUCAUAGUUCCAGAGAAUCUGAAGAAAGGUUUGCUAUCCCAUCAAAAUUGAAUGCGAAUGCUUUGAACACUUUAAAUGUGUGCGCUGAUUCUCCACAGAAAGCAGUGCUAAAAGGUUCUUUUAAUCAAGCUGAUGCCCGCUUUGGUGAUUCCAGUUUUCCAUCCACGUCUGGUAAAGCCCUUUACAGUGAAGUAUUAAAACGCUCACCCAAGGUCUGUGAAUCCGUAAAGACUGAGGUAAGGCCAUCUGAUUUUCAAGUAGACUCUGGCAAACCCCGGCAACACCAGAUGAAGCACCCCAUGAAAACCCAACUAAAAUCCAUGAAAAAACCUAUCCAAACUGAACAAAACAUUCCUGUAAUUUGCCAUGAAAGUGCUUUGAGUGCUUGUUGUGAUUUUCCACAGAAAUCCAUGCUAAGAGGGUCUUUUGAUCAAGCUGAUGCCCGCUUUGGAGAUUCACGCAACAGGCAGUGUGGCGCCAUUGGUCUCACGGCAGUGUUGAAAAGCAAGCUGAAGAAUGUGCUGACGUGGACUACACAAGAUCUGGACGGUGUCUUGGUUGAAGGAACACAUCUUUACGAGUCUCUAAGAAAACAUGGUAACAUAAAAGAUAGAGAAGUCAAGGGUAGGAAUUACAUUGCAGUCCAUGAAUUACCGAGGAGACACAUGUUGGGUAAUACUACAUUUUCCAUCGAGUACGCUCCGUCUCUGACUGGUUUUGUUAAUGUCAAUGAGUACCACGAGUAUGACCAAGCCAUAAGCGCUGUAGCCAUGCCACUUGAUGUAGCCCUUCAGCAAACUCUACUGAGUGCUGAUGCUUUCUUGUUAACCAUUUGUGCCAACACAUCUGCAGUUAUUAAGCAGGGGUCAUGGUAUGCAGUCGUUGACUCUCAUGCCAUCAGGACAGACACAAGUUGUGUAGUCUAUCACCGUACCAUAGAGUCUCUGUACGACUAUAUCAAUGACAUGGCACAGUUGUUUGGGGUACCUGAGCCACCAUUUGAGAUAACUGGAGUUUUGGUUCAUGCAGAUGCAGAAGUGUCUGAUCCGCUGCAAGAAGCAGGCAGCAGCGGUUUCCCAUGCUCUUCCGGUAAAGCCCUCUACAGUGAUGUCUUAAAACGCAUACCAAAGGUACGUGAAUCUGUGAAGACUGAGCCAAAGACCCCUGAUUAUCCAGUACCUGUGGAUGAAGUUGCAGAUGUGAGAAACCCUAACCUUCCAACACAGACAGCCUCUAAUGUGUUGCCAAGUAAAGGUAAAAGAUUGAGGAAAGAAAAGCACAUUGAGCUGUCAGGUAAACGGGUUACAAAAUCCCACGCUGAAACUGUUAUAACCGAUGAUUUGAUGAUCACUGAUGUUUCAGUUCCAGAUGUCUUUUUUUCUCCCUUAACACAUAAUGAUAAGCAAGCUUUAUGUGAGCUCAUACAAAUGUCCAAUGAUAACGGUGACCAUAAUGUCAUAAACUUUGGUCCCAUUGCAGCUCCGUGUCAGACAAAGACCAUUAAACCAGACGGUAACUGCUUUUUCAGAUCGUUGGCACAUGUGAUAUGUGGAAGUGAAGAGAAACACUUGAAGGUUCGCCGUGCAGUUGUGAAACAUCUAAAGAUGAAUACUCUGCUGUUUGAGAGGUACGUGAGAAGUGAGUAUUCUUCAGCAGAGGAUUAUCUGACACGAUCUAGAAUGUUUUAUUCUGGCUCAUGGGUAACCGAAAUUGACAUAUUUGUUGCGGCCGAUCUAUUCAAAACCACCAUAAUGACUUUUAAUGACAGCCGAUGGAAUGCACACAAACCUACCGGAGAGGUAUCCACUCAGAAUGCAAUUUAUCUGAAACACUGUAACCGUAAUCAUUAUGAAGUUGUGACAUGUGUUAAGCACAAGGAUCGAGAUGCUGUUUGUGCAGGAGCAUGUGGAAAUGCGGUGUCAAAUGAGGUCAGCAAACCAUGUCUGCGUAAGCGAAAGGUAAGCGAUGCUGCAGAAUGUUGUCCCACCAAAAGACAUCGGGAGAGAUAUAGCAACGACCGUGAGUACAGACAAAAACAAUUGAAGUACAAGAAGUCAAAGUAUGGUAAUGACCCUGAAUACAGACAGAACAAAAUUGAGCAUGCCAAAGCUAAAUAUUGUGAUGCCAUUUACAGGGGGAAAAAAAUUGAGAAUGCCAAAACAAAAUAUUCUGAUGACACCAUUUACAGGGGGAAAAAAAUUGAAUAUGACAAAACAAAAUACAGUAGAGAUAGAUAUUACCAAGAGAGAAAAAAGGGAAUUCUUCGUGACAAAUAUCUAAAAAAUGUUGAUGUUCGUUUAUCAAAGUGUGAACGUUCUAAAGCCAAGUACUUGAGCAAUAUUCAGUUCCAAAAACGUGUUUGCCAGUAUUCUCGAUUGAAAUAUAAAUAUAAUGUCUCUUUUCAGGCAAAUGUAUGUGAGUAUUCAAAGAAAAAAUAUCUGCAAAACCUGGCCUUCAAAGCAAGAGUGUGUGAGUAUUCAAAGAAAAAAUAUCUGCAAAACCUGGCCUUCAAAGCAAGAGUGUGUGAGUAUUCAAAGAAAAAAUAUCUGCAAAACCUGGCCUUCAAAGCAAGAGUGUGUGAGUAUUCAAAGAAAAAAUAUCUGCAAAACCUGGCCUUCAAAGCAAGAGUGUGUGAGUAUUCAAAGAAAAAAUAUCUGCAAAACCUGGCCUUCAAAGCAAGAGUGUGUGAGUAUUCAAAGAAAAAAUAUCUGCAAAACCUGGCCUUCAAAGCAAGAGUGUGUGAGUAUUCAAAGAAAAAAUAUCUGCAAAACCUAGUCUUCAAAAGAAGAGUGUGUGAGUAUUCUGUAAUGAAAUAUCAUAAAGAUGUGAACUUCCGUGUGCUUUCAAUACAAAAAGGUUGUGAAAAGUAUGCAAGAAAGAAGGAACAACAAGACAUUGAUGUUGCUAUUGAUCUUUUUAGACAAGAAAUUAGUAGUGGUCCAGAGUUUGUGUGCUGUGUCUGUCACCGUUUACUUUUCAGAAAGCAGGUUGUUGAAUGUAGAAGACAAUGCUAUGAAGACAAAGGUGUAAAAAUCGCUGCUUUGGGAAGAAGAUGCAUCACAACCAGGUAUGUUCAUGUCUGUGAUCAAAAGUGUGAAGGAUCUUCUGCUCAUUCCUCAGGGUGCAAAUUAUGGAUCUGUCUAACGUGUCAUCGGAAAAUCCUCUGUGGACAACUGCCCGAAGAGAGCGUUGCAAACAACAUGCAUUUGGUGGAUGUUCCAAAUCAACUGAAAUGCCUCAACUCUUUGGAACAACAUCUAAUUGCACGUAACAUUCCUUUUAUGAAAUUACUGUGCCUUCCUCGUGGUAAACAACAUGGAUGCCAUGGCCCUGUAGUGUGCGUCCCGGUUAAUGCCACAGAUGUGUCCAAUAUCCUUCCACGAAAUGAAUGUGAUGACAAGAUGAUAAGGAUCAAACUGAAACGCAAGUUAACCUACAAAGGGCAUUAUGAGUACAAGUAUGUACACACUGAUCGUGUUCGAAAUGCUCUGAAAUAUUUGAUCCGGUUCAAUAAGUGGUUUGGUGAUGUGGAGAUUAAUCAACAGUGGAUCAACUCUUUGAACGAACCAGAAGAAAAUGUUGAUGAAAUGGAGCAACAAGACGUAGUUGAAAAGAUUGAUGAUGAAAAUGACCUUGAUGAACAGCAAGAGGAAGACCUUACCUACAUCAAAGAGCAAAGUGGUCUUUUGUCAGAUACGUCAUUGCAACCUGUGGACAUCGGUUCAGAAGUAAUUGAUCAGCAUUUCCAGGAUGUAUUAAAUCUGGCACCUGCUGAAGGUAACAGUCCUGUUAGUUUGUUAUCCGAUAGGUCUAACGAAGCAAAAUGUUUCCCUGUUCUAUAUCCAACUGGUGGUCCAACAUUUCAUGAUAAGAGGGAGGUAAAAAUAACAUUGUCAAGAUACUUGAAUGCAAGAAUCCUCAAUGCGGAUGGACGUUUUGCACGAAGCACAGACUUCAUUUUCUAUGCACAGUAUCUGUCGGAGAUUGAUCAAGUUGUAUCCAAUGUUUCAAUUGCUUUGCGCAAAGGAUCUGAGAAGAGUUUGUUGACUGAAGUGACUUCAGAUGUACUAACAAACCCAGACUCGUUAUCUAAAAUCUUGAAUUUUGAUGAAGGAUACAAGUUUUUGAGACCAAUCCGUGGAACACCUCCAUAUUGGCAGUCUACUCAAAAGGACCUUUUUGCACUUGUAAGACAGCUAGGUAUUCCAACUUUCUUUGCAUCCUUUAGUUCUGCGGAUCUCAGAUGGCCAGAAAUGAUUAGUACUAUAAUCAAACAGGAAGGGAAAAAUGUGAAAGCAGAUGAACUUGACUGGUCUGAAAAAUGUGGAUUGAUUAGACGAAACCCAGUGACUGCUGCAAGAAUGUUUGAUCAUAGAUGGCAUUGUUUUCUGAGAAAUGUAAUCAUGUCUUCAGCUCAACCGAUUGGGAAAAUAGUAGAUUACUUUUAUCGCGUAGAGUUUCAACAGCGUGGAUCUCCUCAUGUUCACUGUCUGUUUUGGGUUGAAAAUGCCCCAACGUUAAAUGAAGACAAUGAAGAAAACGAUGGUUUGGUUGCUAGUUUCAUUGAUCGUUACAUCACUUGUGAGACCCCAAGCGAGGAUGAAACUGAACUGUUUGAGAUUGUCAACGGUGUUCAGAAGCACAGUGUCAGACAUUCAAAGACAUGUCGUAAGAAAAAGACAGUUUGCAGAUUUAAUUUUCCACGACCCCCAUCAAGCCGUACCUUUAUUACAAGAGGUGGUAGUCGAGACGAUUUGAAAAGUGGUGACGGAAAAGAUACUGCACGUACAGUUUUAGAAAAAGUGAAAAAGGCUUUAACAGCUUCUGAUAUGGAUUAUGACUCAACUGAUGCAUUUUUUGAAUCCAUUGGUAUUAACCAAGCUCUCUUUGAGAAAGUGUAUGCACAGUGUUCCAAAAAGAAAUCCGUUGUCCUGAAAAGAAGUCCAAAAGACGUCUGGGUGAACCAGUAUAAUAAACAUUUACUGCGUGCCUGGCAAGGCAACAUGGAUAUCCAGUACGUCACUGAUGCUUACUCUGUAGUGGUUUACAUUAUCAGUUACAUCACAAAAGCAGAACAAGAAAUGGGAUUGUUGCUGCAACGUGCGCAAAACGAAGCCAUGAAUGGAAACCUUGAAGCGAGAUCAUCACUGAAGAUGCUUGGUAGUGUAUAUCUUCACAACAGAGAAGUUUCUGCUCAAGAGGCUGUGUAUCGUCUGACCGGUAUGCACUUGAAGGAAUGUUCUCGUAAAGUCCAGUUUAUUCCAAUUGGAUUGAAUCCUGUAAAGAUGAGUUUGCCUCUUCGUGUCAUCAAAAACAAAGUUGAUCAGUCUGGUGAAGAAGCUAGCUUUUGGAUGACUAGUCUGGUUGACCGAUACAAGAAUAGGCCAAACACGGAAGAGUUUGAGACCCAAUGUCUUGCAAGUUUUUGCUCUGAAAACAGGAUCUUGUCAAAAUCGGAGGUUUCUUCACAAAAAAAGUCUUCUGAAGACAAGGUGAUCAAGCUUAACAAUGACUGUGGUUAUAUGAUGAAGAGAACUCGAACUGACCCUGCUGUUGUUCGAUAUCCGAGAUUUUCUCCCAAAAAAGAUCCAGAAAAGUACUUUCAUUCAUUGUUGCAACUUUUCUUGCCACAUUAUGAAGAUUGUCAGCUCAAGCCUGAGAGUUUUAGCACUUAUGAGGAAUUCUACAACAGUGGUGCUGUGAAAUGUGGGAGAAAUGUGACGCAAGUCAAAUGUAUUGUUGAUGCUAAUCGAGCACUCUUUGAAAAGGAAAGUGACAAAAUUGAUCGAGCUCAACAGCUUUUGGAGCAAGGUGUUGAUUUGGAAGAUGCUUGGGCUGCGUUAUGUCCUGAAACUGAAAAGGAACGUCACGAAUGUUUAGAACUAAGGAAGAGUAAUACAAUUCCUGAUGAAGAUGAUUCUGAGUGUUCUAUUCCAGAUCUUGUAACGAACCCUCGAACUCCAUACAGUAUUGAAACCAAUCAGGCUGGAAUUUCUAGAGAAGAAGCAUUAUGUUUACUGCGAUCAUUAAAUGCACAACAAUGUGCAAUCUUUUACAAAGUACGGAAAUGGUGUUUAGAGAAACUUCUUGGUGAAAACCCUGAACCAUUUCACUUGUUUGUCACUGGUGGAGCAGGCACAGGCAAGAGUCAUUUAAUCAAAGCGAUCUACUAUGAAUCCUCCAGACUUUUAUCUCAGCUGUCCGAAAACCCUGAUGAUAGAAGUGUGAUUUUAACUGCGUCAACCGGAGUGGCCAGUUUUCAAAUUGGUGCUUCUACAAUCCAUAAUACCUUUUCCAUAGGUGCCAAUGUCAAACUGCCAUAUCAGCCCCUAAGUGAUGACAAAAUCAAUUCACUGCGUGCAAAACUGGGAGGUUUGCAGAUUCUGAUCAUUGAUGAGGUGUCUAUGGUUGACCAUCACCUUUUGUCUUAUGUUCAUGGUAGAUUGAGACAAAUUAAGCAAACUGGUGACUACUCAAUUUUUGGAAGAGUCAGUUUGGUCUGUGUUGGUGAUUUUUAUCAGCUACCGCCAGUCAAGGGAAUUCCCCUGUACGUUGAUCCAAAAGGAGUGAAUCUUUGGGAUACCAACUUUGAAAUUGCUGAACUAACACAAGUUGUCAGGCAACAAGAUGCAUCUUUUGCUGAAAUGUUAAAUCGUCUGAGAGUUCAUAAAAAGAACGAAACUCUAAGCCCAAAUGACAUCAACAUGUUGAAGCAACGUGAAACUGGUGAAGAAUGCGAUGCUAUUCAUAUAUUCCCUACAAAUGCUCAGGUUGAUGAGUACAAUAUACAGAAACUUAAUGAGCGUUGUCCUGAGGCAAUCACUAUUCACGCUAGAGACUUUGCUAGAAAUCCAGAAACUGGAAGAAUAGAAAGGAAAGUUGGAUUUCAUGCAAAAGUUUUCAACUCUUGUUUGGACAAAUGUGUUUCCUUGGGUGUUGGUGCCAGAGUAAUGCUUAGGAAAAAUGUUGAUGUUUCUGAUGGACUUGUCAAUGGAGCCUGUGGCACAGUUGUCCACAUAAGCAGAAAACAAAGACAUGAUGAUGAUGAUGAAGAUGAUGACUUCCCAUCAGCUAUCCAUGUUGAAUUUGAUGAUCCAAAUGUUGGUAAAGUUCAGAGAUCGAAGCUGCGACAGAAAUAUUCUCCAAAUUCAACUGUUAUUGAAGUGGAAGAAGAUCAAGUCUCAAACGAUGGUGGUUUAAGACGUCAGUUUCCACUUAAAUUGGCAUGGGCAUGCACCGUUCAUAAAGUGCAAGGACUCACAGUAGAUCAAGCGGUCGUCUCACUUGACAAGGUAUUUUCUCCGGGACAAGCAUAUGUUGCACUGAGUCGUGUUAGAACCCUCGAUGGACUAAUAAUUAAUAACUUCAAAGACUCUGUCAUAUAUUGUAAUGAGAAAAUUGACUCCGCUAUGAAAAACAUGCCCCGACUUGCUUUAGAAAAUUACAGUUUUGUAAAGACACCUGGCGUGUUUACAAUUGCUCUUCAUAAUGUACAAAGUCUUCGAGCUCAUGUUCAAGAUCUUCAAGUUCACAGACAGAUAAUGAAUGCAGAUUGCAUCGGUUUAACUGAAACGUGGCUAAAAGUUGAAGACCAAGUACAGAUUCCAGGAUUUGUUUUUAAGAGCAAUCCAAGAGCUAAAUGUUAUGACAACAGUACUCCACUUUUCACUGAUUUAAAACAACAAAGAGGAGGUGGAGUUGGACUAUUCUGUUGUGAAAGCAUUCAUUUUAAUGUCAGGGUUCCAGAACCUUGUAACUUGGAAUGUCUAUACUUUGCAGUUCCACAUCUAAGUUUGAAUGCUGCUUUGCUGUACAGACCUAAUUCAUAUCCACUUAAUCUGUUUCGACAAAAUAUGUUGCAUGUUAUUGAUGAGCUGGAGAAACAGUCAGGAAAGAAAGUGAUUAUGGGAGACUUCAAUGAGGACAUCUUGACAUCAUCUACAAUUGGUACACUAAUGGAACUACAUGGAUACAGUCAACAUGUGCAACACCCUACCACUGAAAAAGGUACACUGAUAGACCAUGUCUAUGUUAAAGAUGCAGAUAAUGUCUCUGUUGAAAUUGUGCAAACGUAUUACAGUUACCACCAAGCAGUCCUUAUUUCACUGAGGUAAAAAUUAAUGUGUGUGAUUAUGUAAUGAAAUCUCUAUAACCUGCAUUAUUUGUUUCUUGUCUGUGCUCUUACUUGUUCAAUGUUCAUCCUGAGCUUCCAACUGGCAUACAACUGCAGGGCAAGUGUACAACUGGAGACGGUAUGUUCUAAGUCUAUCUAUAUGUAAAUGAAUAACUCUUAUAAUGAUCCAUCAGUUGAAUAUGUACAGCUGUUCCAUGUUAUGAUUGAAGUAUUAUCUGAAGGUAAUCCAUUUUAUCAAUGCAACACUCUGAAAUGAGAAUUGUAUCACUGUAUUGUCUGUUCUGUUUUUGUGUCCAUACGAUAUGAGUGCUAUCCUGAGAUUCCAACAUGGUCAGAGUCCAGUUAAUCCAGCCUGUAAUUCAAACAAGUGAUCAUCAUUUUCAACGCAACAUCUCCCAUAAUUGCUCUUCUUUCUUGAGCUAGUAAACUUCACCCAGCCAAGUCAUUCUAAGCCAUCCAAAUCAUAAUGGAUGCUUCCAAACAUUAUAGGAAGCAUCCACAAAGACUGCCUGCAUCCAUCCAUUUGUCUCCUAAUAUCACAAUUAAGUCAAUAGAACAACACAAAAUUGGUUUGUGCAUCAACUAACUACUAACUACUGUCAAAGAUUUCUGCAAUGUUACACUUCAAACUUCCGCCUUAUCCAUUAUGAUUCUCCGCUCCACAAACUGUUUUAAUGAAGAGGCACACAACCAAUCAAAAGGUUUGUGCAAAACGUUACACUUCAAACUUCGGUCUUAUCCGCUAUGAUUCUCCACCCCAUGAACUGUUUUUAUGAAGAGGCACACAACCAAUCAAAAGGUUUGUGCAUGAAAACCCAAUAUCUACGGUCCACUUCUCCAAAAAGAUUUCUGCAAUGUUACACUUCAAACUUCCGCCUUCUCCAUUAAGAUUCUCCACUCCAUGAACUGUUUUUAUGAAGAGGCACACAACCAAUCAAAAGGUUUGUGCAUCAAAACCCAAUAUCUCCUGUCCACUACUCCCAAAAGAUUUCUGCAAUUUACUACACAUCAAACUUCCUUCUCCGCUAUGAUUCUCCACCCCAUGAACUGUUUUUAUGAAGAGGCACACAACCAAUCAAAAGGUUUGUGCAUCAAAACCCAAUAUCUCCUGUCCACUACUCCCAAAAGAUUUCUGCAAUUUACUACACAUCAAACUUCCUUCUCCAAUAUGACUCUCCACCCCAUGAACUGUUUUUAUGAAGAGGCACACAACCAAUCAAAAGGUUUGUGCAUGAAAACCCAAUAUCUACGGUCCACUUCUCCAAAAAGAUUUCUGCAAUGUUACACUUCAAACUUCCGCCUUAUCCAUUAAGAUUCUCCACUCCAUGAACUGUUUUUAUGAAGAGGCACACAACCAAUCAAAAGGUUUGUGCAUCAAAACCCAAUAUCUCCUGUCCACUACUCCCAAAAGAUUUCUGCAAUUUACUACACAUCAAACUUCCUUCUCCGCUAUGAUUCUCCACCCCAUGAACUUUUUUUAUGAAGAGGCACACAACCAAUCAAAAGGUUUGUGCAUCAAAACCCAAUAUCUCCUGUCCACUACUCCCAAAAGAUAUCUGCAAUUUACUACACAUCAAACUUCCUUCUCCAAUAUGACUCUCCACCCCAUGAACUGUUUUUAUGAAGAGGCACACAACCAAUCAAAAGGUUUGUGCAUGAAAACCCAAUAUCUACAGUCCACUACUCCAAAAAGAUUUCUGCAAUGUUACACUUCAAACUUCCACCUUAUCCAUUAAGAUUCUCCACUCCAUGAACUGUUUUUUAUGAAGAGGCACACAACCAAUCAAAAGUGAAUACAAAAUCAUUGUUCAAGUAUCUUCAGAAAAUGUCCCGGCAAAACUCUAAACCGAUGCAGGCAGUCAAUAGUCAAAGAUAUCACAAAUGCAUAACCACAAAAGUAACACAAUUCUAUAUGAAAUGUUGGAUGGAUGGCUUGUAUUAUAUUUGGCCUAUGUACAGCAAACUUAGAUGCCAGCCAAAGGAGGAUGGCUUGCCCCUGCUGAGUCUGGUUCCUCCCAAGGUUUCUCCCUAUACCUCUCUGCUGAUGAUCCUCUUCACUAAUUUAGGGAGUUUUUCCUUGCCACUGUUGCCUUCUGGCUUGCUCACUGGGGUUUUAAGGCACAAUAUUUUCAAUGUAAAUUGUUUGUAAAGAACAAUAAAUACAUGAUGAAUUAGAA
Molecule: RNA transcript, 11805 nt
Organism: Carassius gibelio (silver crucian carp)
Lineage: Eukaryota; Metazoa; Chordata; Actinopteri; Cypriniformes; Cyprinidae
Exons: 20
Source: RefSeq, a predicted model, not a curated record